UCCUUGUAAAAUUUGUCUCUUGACGAAUACUAUAAAGUAAAUAGUCUGUCUUGCUUGUUGAUGCAUUGCAACUAACUUUUCUGUACAUGUACUACGUUGGGACGAACCCUCUAGUAUCUAUUACAUAUAUAUAAGUGGUGAUAACCUGCUUCGCUGAUGGAUGACAUGCCUGCUUCAACUGCUUCAUCCGUAAUUUUAUUGUAUUAUUUUUAAUUAAUUAUUAUAAGUUAUUUUGUUGAUGCAUUGCAACUAACUUUUCUGUACAUGUACUACGUUGGGACGAACCCUCUAGUAUCUAUUACAUAUAUAUAAGUGGUGAUAACCUGCUUCGCUGAUGGAUGACAUGCCUGCUUCAACUGCUUCAUCCGUAAUUUUAUUGUAUUAUUUUUAAUUAAUUAUUAUAAGUUAUUNNNNN
Molecule: long non-coding RNA, 415 nt
Filed under: Capsicum annuum
Lineage: Eukaryota; Viridiplantae; Streptophyta; Magnoliopsida; Solanales; Solanaceae
Description: long non-coding RNA (CANN_LNC000740)
Source: RNAcentral